RNAcentral lists this ribosomal RNA (445 nucleotides) under uncultured bacterium. RNAcentral describes it as "partial 16S ribosomal RNA". It matches the Rfam family "Bacterial small subunit ribosomal RNA", at positions 354 to 796 of the family's 1533-position model. The record is from RNAcentral.
GUGGGGAAUAUUGGACAAUGGGCGCAAGCCUGAUCCAGCCAUGCCGCGUGCAGGAAGACGCAUCUAUGGUGUGUAAACUGCUUUUGUACGGGAAGAAACACUCCCUCGUGAGGGAGCUUGACGGUACCGUAAGAAUAAGGAUCGGCUAACUCCGUGCCAGCAGCCGCGGUAAUACGGAGGAUCCAAGCGUUAUCAGGAAUCAUUGGGUUUAAAGGGUCCGUAGGCGGUUUAAUAAGUCAGUGGUGAAAGCCCAUCGCUCAACGAUGGAACGGCCAUUGAUACUGUUAGACUUGAAUUACAAGGAAGUAACUAGAAUAUGUAGUGUAGCGGUGAAAUGCUUAGAUAUUACAUGGAAUACCAAUUGCGAAGGCAGGUUACUACUUGUGGAUUGACGCUGAUGGACGAAAGCGUGGGGAGCGAACAGGAUUAGAUACCCUUGUAGUCC